This 253-nucleotide ribosomal RNA is filed under the name uncultured bacterium. RNAcentral describes it as "partial 16S ribosomal RNA". It matches the Rfam family "Bacterial small subunit ribosomal RNA", at positions 524 to 776 of the family's 1533-position model. The record is from RNAcentral.
UACGGGGGGAGCAAGCGUUGUUCGGAUUUACUGGGCGUAAAGGGCGCGUAGGCGGCGUGACAAGUCACUUGUGAAAUCUCCGGGCUUAACUCGGAACGGUCAAGUGAUACUGUCGUGCUAGAGUACAGAAGGGGCAACUGGAAUUCUCGGUGUAGCGGUGAAAUGCGUAGAUAUCGAGAGGAACACCUGCGGCGAAGGCGGGUCGCUGGGCUGAUACUGACGCUGAGGCGCGAAAGCCAGGGGAGCGAACGGG